UCUAGCAUCUAAACGACAUCGUCCAACUAACAUUGCUCCUCAAAAUUGCUCUAGAAAGGCGCAAUUGUUGCAAGUAGUGGUAGUUUAAGAAAAGGAUGAACACUAGAUCGUGAAGCUAUGAUGCUCAGUUCCCGUGCAUGUUUUUAAAAUUUUUAAAUAUAUAAACCCUCAAUAUUUCGUCUUUAGAAGCUGUUGCUUUUCGAAAAUGGCAAUAAGCUCAGACCUAGGGCAAUCACAAGAAGUAGCAUGCCACAAAC
This 257-nucleotide long non-coding RNA is filed under the name Carica papaya (papaya). Its description in RNAcentral is "long non-coding RNA (CPAP_LNC002538)". Lineage: Eukaryota; Viridiplantae; Streptophyta; Magnoliopsida; Brassicales; Caricaceae. The record is from RNAcentral.